GUUUCAACGCUGGGGUGCCUUAAUACAACGGGCUGAGAUCAUACCCAAUGAACCUGAUGCCGAUAAUGCGGUCGCAGGGAUUUUGGUUAAGGAAAAU
This 97-nucleotide non-coding RNA is filed under the name Marivirga tractuosa. Its description in RNAcentral is "TPP sequence". It matches the Rfam family "TPP riboswitch aptamer (THI element)". From Rfam's summary of the family: Vitamin B(1) in its active form thiamin pyrophosphate (TPP) is an essential coenzyme that is synthesised by coupling of pyrimidine and thiazole moieties in bacteria. The previously detected thiamin-regulatory element, thi box was extended, resulting in a new, highly conserved RNA secondary structure, the THI element, which is widely distributed in eubacteria and also occurs in some archaea. Lineage: Bacteria; Pseudomonadati; Bacteroidota; Cytophagia; Cytophagales; Marivirgaceae. RNAcentral also lists the same sequence under 1 other name. The record is from RNAcentral.